This 429-nucleotide ribosomal RNA is filed under the name uncultured archaeon. Its description in RNAcentral is "bacterial SSU rRNA". It matches the Rfam family "Archaeal small subunit ribosomal RNA", at positions 474 to 903 of the family's 1478-position model. The record is from RNAcentral.
UACCAGCUCUCCGAGUGGUAGGGAUGAUUAUUGGGCUUAAAGCGUCCGUAGCCGGCUUAGCAAGUCUCCCGUUAAAUUCAGCGACCUAAUCGUUGAGCCGCGGGAGAUACUACUAGGCUAGGAGGCGGGAGAGGUCGACGGUACUUCCGGGGUAGGGGUGAAAUCCUAUAAUCCCGGGAGGACCACCAGUGGCGAAGGCUGUCGACUAGAACGCGCUCGACGGUGAGGGACGAAAGCUGGGGGAGCGAACCGGAUUAGAUACCCGGGUAGUCCCAGCUGUAAACGAUGCGGGCUAGGUGUUGGGGUGGCUACGUGCCACUUCAGUGCCGCAGGGAAGCCAUUAAGCCCGCCGCCUGGGGAGUACGGCCGCAAGGCUGAAACUUAAAGGAAUUGGCGGGGGAGCACCACAAGGCGUGAAGCUUGCGGUUC